CGCAGCCGCGGUAAUUCCAGCUCCAAUAGCGUAUAUUAAAGUUGUUGCAGUUAAAAAGCUCGUAGUUGAAUUUCGGGGUCAGUAGGUUGGUCGUGCCACCGGUACGUACUGGUCUCACUGAUUCCUCCUUCCUGAAGAACCGUAAUGCCAUUAAUUUGGUGUUGCGGGGAAACAGGACUGUUACUUUGAAAAAAUUAGAGUGUUUAAAGCAAGCUAACGCUUGAAUACAUUAGCAUGGAAUAAUGAAAUAGG
This 252-nucleotide ribosomal RNA is filed under the name uncultured Glomus. RNAcentral describes it as "partial 18S ribosomal RNA". It matches the Rfam family "Eukaryotic small subunit ribosomal RNA", at positions 569 to 826 of the family's 1831-position model. The record is from RNAcentral. Lineage: Eukaryota; Fungi; Glomeromycota; Glomeromycetes; Glomerales; Glomeraceae.